UACGUAGGGUGCGAGCGUUAAUCGGAAUUACUGGGCGUAAAGCGUGCGCAGGCGGUUCCCCAAGUCCGUUGUGAAAGCCCCGGGCUCAACCUGGGAAUGGCAGUGGAAACUAGGGGACUGGAAUCUGGCAGAGGGGGGUGGAAUGCCGCGUGUAGCAGUGAAAUGCGCAGAGAUGCGGCGGAACACCGAUGGCGAAGGCAGCCCCCUGGGCUGAGAUCGACGCUCAGGCACGAAAGCGUGGGGAGCAAACAGG
RNAcentral lists this ribosomal RNA (253 nucleotides) under uncultured bacterium. Its description in RNAcentral is "partial 16S ribosomal RNA". It matches the Rfam family "Bacterial small subunit ribosomal RNA", at positions 524 to 776 of the family's 1533-position model. The record is from RNAcentral.